This 527-nucleotide ribosomal RNA is filed under the name uncultured bacterium. RNAcentral's name for it is "partial 16S ribosomal RNA". It matches the Rfam family "Bacterial small subunit ribosomal RNA", at positions 355 to 871 of the family's 1533-position model. The record is from RNAcentral.
UGGGGAAUAUUGCACAAUGGGCGCAAGCCUGAUGCAGCCAUGCCGCGUGUGUGAAGAAGGCCUUCGGGUUGUAAAGCACUUUCAGCGAGGAGGAAGGUGGUGAACUUAAUACGUUCAUCAAUUGACGUUACUCGCAGAAGAAGCACCGGCUAACUCCGUGCCAGCAGCCGCGGUAAUACGGAGGGUGCAAGCGUUAAUCGGAAUUACUGGGCGUAAAGCGCACGCAGGCGGUUUGUUAAGUCAGAUGUGAAAUCCCCAGGCUCAACCUGGGAACUGCAUUUGAAACUGGCAAGCUAGAGUCUCGUAGAGGGGGGUAGAAUUCCAGGUGUAGCGGUGAAAUGCGUAGAGAUCUGGAGGAAUACCGGUGGCGAAGGCGGCCCCCUGGACGAAGACUGACGCUCAGGUGCGAAAGCGUGGGGCAGCAAACAGGAUUAGAUACCCUGGUAGUCCACGCUGUAAACGAUGUCGAUUUUGGAGGUUGUGCCCCUUGAGGCGUGGCUUCCGGAGCUAACGCGUUAAAUCGACCG